This 459-nucleotide ribosomal RNA is filed under the name uncultured bacterium. RNAcentral describes it as "partial 16S ribosomal RNA". It matches the Rfam family "Bacterial small subunit ribosomal RNA", at positions 338 to 795 of the family's 1533-position model. The record is from RNAcentral.
CCUACGGGUGGCAGCAGUGAGGAAUAUUGGUCAAUGGGCGCGAGCCUGAACCAGCCAAGUCGCGUGAGGGAAGACGGUCCUAUGGAUUGUAAACCUCUUUUGUCGGGGAGCAAAAGACGCCACGCGUGGCGUUCCGAGAGUACCAGAAGAAAAAGCAUCGGCUAACUCCGUGCCAGCAGCCGCGGUAAUACGGAGGAUGCGAGCGUUAUCCGGAUUUAUUGGGGUUAAAGGGUGCGAAGGGGGAAGUUAAGGUCAGUGGUAAAAUUGAGAGGCUCAACCUCUUAGAGCCGUUGAAACUGGUUUUCUUGAGUGAAUGAGAGGUAUGCGGAAUGCGUGGUGUAGCGGUGAAAUGCAUAGAUAUCACGCAGAACUCCGAUUGCGAAGGCAGCAUACCGGCGCUCAACUGACGCUGAUGCACGAAAGUGUGGGUAUCGAACAGGAUUAGAUACCCGAGUAGUC